Molecule: ribosomal RNA, 497 nt
Filed under: uncultured bacterium
Lineage: Bacteria
Description: partial 16S ribosomal RNA
Rfam family: Bacterial small subunit ribosomal RNA
Source: RNAcentral
GAUGAACGCUGGCGGCGUGCCUAAUACAUGCAAGUCGAGCAAACAGACGAGGAGCUUGCUCCUCUGACGUUAGCGGCGGACGGGUGAGUAACACGUGGAUAACCUACCUAUAAGACUGGGAUAACUUCGGGAAACCGGAGCUAAUACCGGAUAAUAUAUUGAACCGCAUGGUUCAAUAGUGAAAGACGGUUUUGCUGUCACUUAUAGAUGGAUCCGCGCCGCAUUAGCUAGUUGGUAAGGUAACGGCUUACCAAGGCGACGAUGCGUAGCCGACCUGAGAGGGUGAUCGGCCACACUGGAACUGAGACACGGUCCAGACUCCUACGGGAGGCAGCAGUAGGGAAUCUUCCGCAAUGGGCUAAAGCCUGACGGAGCAACGCCGCGUGAGUGAUGAAGGUCUUCGGAUCGUAAAACUCUGUUAUUAGGGAAGAACAAAUGUGUAAGUAACUAUGCACGUCUUGACGGUACCUAAUCAGAAAGCCACGGCUAACUACGUG